This 708-nucleotide long non-coding RNA is filed under the name Equus asinus (donkey). RNAcentral describes it as "lncRNA (ENSEASG00005032083.1)". The record is from RNAcentral. Lineage: Eukaryota; Metazoa; Chordata; Mammalia; Perissodactyla; Equidae.
CAUAAAGGCCCUGAAAAAUUGAGACAGAGAGAGAGAACUCCAAAGAAGAAACAUGGUGCUGGAAGGAUCUAGAGCAUAACACCACGGAAGCGGCAAUUUUAGCUAGGGCAUCCGGGUUGUGGUGUCCUGUUAACCAUGGGGCAGCAAGAGGUUCGGUGAUCUUGGUCCAGCUGCAAGAGUAACUUGUGUGUGAACUGGCAACAGAAACAAGUAAAGCCAUUGGAUGAGGACCAGAUCAGCCCUGAGCUAACAUCUGUGCCAGUCUUCCACUAUUUUGUAUGUGGGAUGCCUCCAUAGCAUGGCUGAUGAGUGGAGUUGGUCCACACCCGGGAUCUGAACCCAGGAGACAAAGCGGAGCACGCAGAACUUUAACUCGGCCAUGGGACUGGCCCCUACAUUGCAAUUGUAUUUUUAAAAUAAAAAGAAAUAAAUCAAAAAUUUAUUCUGCCCUUAGCGUUCCUUUAUAAAAACAAAAAUUUUAAAAUCAGAUACAAAUUCUAUAAAAGAAACCAAUUGUGUCACUUUCACCUUUUUGAGCCAGUUUAGCAGUGUUUACCAAGUUUAAAAGCUUUAAACUUUACUCAGGGAUCCACCAUUAUCAACAAUAUUUGAAGUUCCAUUUUCAUAAUUAUUAAGCAUAUUUUUAUACUAUUAGGUAUUAGUCUUGUUGGGUGUAGGCAAGGACUUGCAGAUAUCAGAAAACCAGGA